GUAACCCGCACGAGGGAUACAGGUGGUGGCUUCCCAGCGCUUGAUGCCAAGUGUGUGGUCCUCCUCUCUGACACACGAAACCAUGGUGCUGAUUUGAAGCUUUAGAAAUCAGGGACCAAACUGCUUGAUCAAAUACCCUGUUCAAUUUUUCCAGCUUGAAAGAAACAUUCUGGUCCUUUCUAAUAGGUUUUGAAGUGACAUCAGUUACCAUAGAGGAAGAAGACAUCUCCCUCCCUUUGAAGUGGGGCUCCUUAUUGCCUUCCCCAGCCCUUCUGUCCUAAGAGGUUACACGUCCGUCACUCACAAACCAAGCUUGAUAUAAAAAGGAGCCCAUGCAAUUUAGCACCCUGAACUUGUCUUCUGGAAGACCUAAGUGGGCUCCCAUGACCUUGGGUUGGUAUUCUAAAUUUAUAAACAUCCUUGAAAACUUAGGAGGGCUCUGGUGUUGCCCACUUUUUCCACUUAAUGCUUUAAGUUGGGCACCAUUUUUUUUGUGUGGGCUGGGAGGGAACAUGGCUCCACAAUUCCCUGCUUGGUUUGCAAAGUCUCUGUAGCCAGUCUCCCGCCAUUCGUCCUGUUCCUUUAUCUCCAUCCUGAUUUUUGUGAUGAUGACUUCUUCAAUGCCAAAUAUUUACCUGAAGGGAGUCUUUCCUCACUGUGACUGGGAAAGUCAAAUAUGAAGAUGAGAAAAGGAGCUGCCAGCCAGUAAGCCAAGGGGUGAGCCUAUGGGAAAGAGUGCCAAUCACAGAUUCUUAAUUCCUACCCCUGGGGAGAGAUGCUGUCGAGAGAGGUGAUAACCUGUUGCUAAAUACCACAUAAUCAGUCACAUUUCCACCAUAACCAUGCUCAAGGGUGGGUAGACCUGAGGACCACACUCUUGAGUGCUAUUACUAGUAUGUAGGAAUAGCCUUUUGGAAAGGCUAAGAGUUGUGUUAGGAAGGUUCACCUUCAGGGGACACGGAACCUGACCCACAUUCAGAAUCCAGAUGGUGUUGUCGUAUACCUAAGAAUCAUGGGAAGUCAUCUCUCCCCAAACCUGUUCCGUUUGUUUCGUUAAACCAUAGAUCACACAUGAAAAACCGCUCCCUCUCCUGAGAGAAUACAGAAAGAGAACAUUGGAGCAUGAGCAGCAUCACCAUGAAGAACAGGAGGGUGGGUGGGUGGGUGGGUGGGUGAGGAACAACUGGAAUCAGUCAGUUGUCCUGUGGACCUUCCUUCCCCCCUUGUGAUCGUUUCCUGGAGGAAGUGUAAAAAAAGUAUUGUCUGUUUGCCUUAAGGGAGCUUCGAAAGCUUCUUGGAAGGUUGAGUUUUACUAGAAUGAACCAAACAUCGUCUAAUGUGUCUGUGGCUUCAGAGCUUUCGUUAUAUUGUUAUAUUGUGCCUAUAAAGCAAAUUAUGUUUACAUAAAAAUAUAAAUAAAGUAUUCAGCAUAGC
This 1434-nucleotide long non-coding RNA is filed under the name Rattus norvegicus (Norway rat). RNAcentral describes it as "long non-coding RNA NONRATT014303". Lineage: Eukaryota; Metazoa; Chordata; Mammalia; Rodentia; Muridae. The record is from RNAcentral.